UACGGAGGGUGCAAGCGUUAAUCGGAAUUACUGGGCGUAAAGCGUGCGCAGGCGGUUUUGUAAGUCUGUCGUGAAAUCCCCGGGCUCAACCUGGGAAUUGCGAUGGAGACUGCAAGGCUAGAAUCUGGCAGAGGGGGGUAGAAUUCCACGUGUAGCAGUGAAAUGCGUAGAGAUGUGGAGGAACACCGAUGGCGAAGGCAGCCCCCUGGGUCAAGAUUGACGCUAAUGCACGAAAGCGUGGGGAGAAAACAGG
RNAcentral lists this ribosomal RNA (253 nucleotides) under uncultured bacterium. RNAcentral's name for it is "partial 16S ribosomal RNA". It matches the Rfam family "Bacterial small subunit ribosomal RNA", at positions 524 to 776 of the family's 1533-position model. The record is from RNAcentral.